This 406-nucleotide ribosomal RNA is filed under the name uncultured bacterium. RNAcentral describes it as "partial 16S ribosomal RNA". It matches the Rfam family "Bacterial small subunit ribosomal RNA", at positions 28 to 526 of the family's 1533-position model. The record is from RNAcentral.
GAUGAACGCUAGCUACAGGCUUAACACAUGCAAGUCGAGGGACCGGCGCACGGGUGAGUAACACGUAUCCACCCUGCCCUUUACUCGGGGAUAGCCUUUCGAAAGCAAGAUUAAUACCCGAUAUAAAGGAUGGGGAUGCGUUCCAUUAGGUUGUUGGUGAGGUAACGGCUCAACAAACCUUCGAUGGAUAGGGGUUCUGAUAGGAAGGUCCCCCACAUUUGAACUGAGACACGGUCCACACUCCUACGGGGCGCAGCAGUGUGGAAUAUUAGUGAAUGGGCGCUAGCCUGAACCAGCCAAGUAGCGUGAAGGAUGAAUGCUUAUGGGUCGUAAAUUGUUUUUAUAUAAGAAUCUGUAUUAUAUGAGUAAGGAUCGGCUAACUCCGUGCCAGCAGCCGCGGUAAUUC